Molecule: long non-coding RNA, 2878 nt
Organism: Leopardus geoffroyi (Geoffroy's cat)
Lineage: Eukaryota; Metazoa; Chordata; Mammalia; Carnivora; Felidae
Exons: 3
Source: RefSeq, a predicted model, not a curated record
CCCGAGCUUUGCUGUUAAAAAUGUAAGAUAAGGCUUCCAUAAAGAUUCAUCAACAGCAGAGACGCUGUCUAAGUUGGGUCUGAGCCCUCAGAGCUUACGGCUUCUUUUUUCGGUGUUGUAAGGAAGGUCAGUGGGCAAAUGCCUAUGAUUUAUCAUCAUGCUUUAAUAGUGCUUGUGCUUUGGUUAAGGGACACCUUGGGGAGAAGAAAGGGUUAAAAUAUUUGAGCAGGGUCACAAAGUGGUCUUGCAUUAAGAACCCAGCACGGAACUGACAUUACUAAAAGUUACUUAGUCAUUUUGUACCUGCUAAGAGGUAUCGCCCAGUCCCAGCUAAGAACCGGGAAGAAGCAGGCUGAUACCUGCACGUUGCAGAAAGUUUAUGAAGACCAAACACUCCCUUGAAACUCAGCUGGGGAAAUGAAACAACUAAAACCAAACAUCUUCUACCUUCAACCAUCAUGACUGUUUCCGAUACAUUUUGUAAGAUACUCAAGUACAACGCAGGAGAAGUUUGUGAAAUUUGAUUAUAGAGACGUGUGUUUAAUCCGUGCAUAUUGCAAUAUCCUCUUCCACUGUUUGUCCCCAGGAUAGAUGAGAUGAUCUAAAGGAUUUGUCCACCUCCAGUUUCUUGGAAUGAGAACAUAUGCCUUUCCCAGAUGAUUUUCAGUAUUUAUUUUUCAGAAAGAAAGGGAUCGAUACCAGUUUUAAAGAAGACAAAGCAAGGUACUCAAAUACUAAAGCUAAAAUGAUACUGGCUGCACGGAAGGGUACAUUUGAGGCACUUUGGCCAUCUCUCUGAAACGACUAGAAAAAAAUGAGGAUAGAUGCAGUGCUGACUAAUCUGCCUAUUUUCAGAUGUGAUGCUGAGUUACAGAAAUGCAAAGUAAGGAGGUAGUUUAAGAAUUAGCAAAAGUCUCUUAAUGAGAAAUUGAUCUAGCAUCAAGGGGGGCAUCCAUGUGGGUAGCUAGAACAUAUUUUAAGAGUAUCUUAAAAUCUUAGAACUACAUCUAUGAAUGAGUCCAUGCACUGUCACAGGAGAUAAAUACACCAGAUCUUCUGGGAAUUCUAGAGAACAGUCAAGUGGUGGCCCUUCUCAGUGGCUGUUUCAACUCUUGCAGGGUGUUAUAGACUUGAGAUUCUAGAGUCCUGAAUAUUGUUCCUCCAAUCCCAUGUCUGUCCACCUCGGGCUGUGGACAUUUGGGGAAUAAGCCUUUGUCGUGGGAGCUGUCCCGUACAUUGUAGAACAUUUAGUAUCAUACUCAUUAGAUGCAAGUGGCAUUCCCUGCAAGUAGCAUUUUGGAAACCAAAAUGACCUUAUCCCUCAUUCUUCAAACUAAAUGAAAACCACACGCAUUUUGCAUUUAAAUUGCCAUUAGGAAAUGGACCAGAUGUUCAAUAGGAAAAGAAAAUGCACUAGAGAAGAAAAAUACAGGCUUCUUCUGUUCACAGGUGGCCUGGAGGUCAUCCCAGCUCCGCCUGUUUCGGCUUCCCCUCCUGUAAACGGUUGACUUUCCUGGGCAUUAUGUUCUGGCUUCUUACAUUUCUUUUAAUGUCUUUAUCCUGUAUCCCAUAGUGAUGAGACAUGUCACAGCCCGCUCUCCUCUCUCGAUGUGGGCGGGGGGGGGGGGGGCAGGUAGCCACAAAGCUCCAGCUGCAUCCAAGCCUGUUAAAGGACACAUUAAUAAGUGGGACUGUAACCAUAGGAAGAUGACAGAGGUGUGGAGAGGUCUAGAUAGACCAUUUCAUCAAAAACACUGGGGGAAAUGAGCUCGUAUAGAGAGAGAAGGGAAAGAAUGAAAUAAUAGAGUACACACUAACAGUCUUUCAAUUUAGUGAAUUAUAAAGGAAAACUUUUGUACUAACCAAAGAAGGCUAGCUAGGGCAAAGGCUAGCAGGACUGAAGUUACAAUAUGGACCAUCUUUCUAGGACUUUGCCUAUGCAAGGGAUUUAAGUGUAUUUAAGUUCAAGGUGUACAAUGUGUUGGUUUGAUACAUUUAUAAAUUGCAAAAUGAUUACCACCAUAAUAUUUAGCUGUCUUCCCCAUCUCUCCACAUAGUUCCCAUGUCUUUUUUUGUGAUGAGGACAUUUAGGAUCUACUCUCUUAGCAACAUUCAAGUACAUGAUACAGUAUUAUUAACUCUAAUCAUCAUGCUGUGCUUCUUUUUACCUUCCCCUUUUGGAAGUCUAGUCUCUUAAUCGUGAAUGAACCUCGCAGCCCCUGGCUUUCCUUCUGCUCUUACGUAAACUCUUUCAGAUAACUGCUGAUAUCAAUGUGAUCAUUUACUCUGUCCACAGUCUGGGAGAGACCAUGACUUCAGGGGCUCUGGCUGGGCCAUCAGCCAGGGAAGCUCAUUCUCUGUGUUCACCUGCUGCUCCCUGUGAUAGGUACUCAACAAAUAUCUGUUGAAUGAAUGAAUCGGUCAAGAAAGCUUAAUUUUAUUUUAAUUUCAGGGGAAAUAUUUUUUUUUCUGUUUUCAUAGCAGUAAUAGGAUGAAGACCUGUCUUAAAGUAAUGUCUAUCAGUUAAUUAGAAGGAUUAAUUGUGUGUUCAUUGGAAGAUAACUAUCAUAGUAGUGAAUUGUUUGCUUCAGGUUCUGGAGAAAUUAAAUUGGCUGAAGCAUUAUGAGUAGAAAAAGACCAAAGAAUCACAACAGAACUGGCAGAGACUGAAUAAAGGAGAGAGUUCCAUUAAUAUCCAAUUACCAUAGAAGAGGGGAAGUUACUUAGAACAGCACCUGACACACAUGAAGUGCUCAGGAAAUGUCACUGUGAUAUAUCACCCUCAUCAUCGCUAUGAUGACAAUUUUAAGUGAUGUUCUGAUAAGACAUUCAAAAAUAUCAAAUCACACAUUGAUGGAGUGAUUUCCUGUUUGUUUGU